AACGCGAAGAACCUUACCUGGAUUUGACAUCCUCGGACAUCCGUAGAAAUACGGCUUUCGUAGCAAUACGACCGGGAGACAGGUGCUGCAUGGCUGUCGUCAGCUCGUGUGGUGACAUGUUGGGUUAAGUCCCGCAACGAGCGCAACCCCUGUCCUUAGUUGCCAGCAUUCAGUUGGGCUCUCUAAGGAGACUGCCGUGGUUAACACGGAGGAAGGUGGGGAUGACGUCAAGUCCUCAUGGCCUUUAUAUCCAGGGCGACACACGUGAUACAAUGGACGGUACAGAGGGAUGCAAAGUAGCGAUACCAAGCCAAUCUCAAAAAGCCGUUCUCAGUUCGGAUUGGAGUCUGCAACUCGACUCCAUGAAGUUGGAAUCGCUAGUAAUCGUGGAUCAGCACGCCACGGUGAAUACGUUCCCGGGCCUUGUACACACCGACAUA
RNAcentral lists this ribosomal RNA (440 nucleotides) under uncultured bacterium. RNAcentral describes it as "bacterial SSU rRNA". It matches the Rfam family "Bacterial small subunit ribosomal RNA", at positions 958 to 1397 of the family's 1533-position model. The record is from RNAcentral.